Non-coding RNA from Camelina sativa (false flax), 84 nucleotides. NCBI's taxonomy places the organism in Eukaryota, Viridiplantae, Streptophyta, Magnoliopsida, Brassicales, Brassicaceae. The record is from RefSeq and is a predicted model, not a curated record.
GCAACUUCCUCUUUUAAAGUUGCUGCUAGACGACUGGGAAUAACAACCCUAUAUGUCAGCGCAAGACAACAGUCAGGAGAUAAA